AGGUGCCAGCAUACCAGCACUAAUGCACCGGA
RNAcentral lists this ribosomal RNA (32 nucleotides) under Platanus rzedowskii. The record is from RNAcentral. Lineage: Eukaryota; Viridiplantae; Streptophyta; Magnoliopsida; Proteales; Platanaceae.